Molecule: ribosomal RNA, 468 nt
Filed under: uncultured bacterium
Lineage: Bacteria
Description: partial 16S ribosomal RNA
Rfam family: Bacterial small subunit ribosomal RNA
Source: RNAcentral
GACGAACGCUGGCGGCGUGCUUAACACAUGCAAGUCGAACGGAAAGGCCCUGCUUUUGUGGGGUGCUCGAGUGGCGAACGGGUGAGUAACACGUGAGUAACCUGCCCUUGACUUUGGGAUAACUUCAGGAAACUGGGGCUAAUACCGGAUAGGAGCUCCUGCUGCAUGGUGGGGGUUGGAAAGUUUCGGCGGUUGGGGAUGGACUCGCGGCUUAUCAGCUUGUUGGUGGGGGAGUGGCUUACCAAGGCUUUGACGGGUAGCCGGCCUGAGAGGGUGACCGGCCACCUUGGUACUGAGAUACGGCCCAGACUCCUACGGGAGGCAGCAGUGGGGAAUAUUGCACAAUGGGCGGAAGCCUGAUGCAGCAACGCCGCGUGCGGGAUGACGGCCUUCGGGUUGUAAACCGCUUUCGCCUGUGACGAAGCGUGAGUGACGGUAAUGGGUAAAGAAGCACCGGCUAACUACGUG